GGACCCGCACAAGCGGUGGAGCAUGUGGUUUAAUUCGAUGCAACGCGAAAAACCUUACCUACACUUGACAUACUUGGAAUCUUUUGUAAUGAAAGAGUGCCUUUUGGAGCCAAGAUACAGGUGCUGCAUGGCUGUCGUCAGCUCGUGUCGUGAGAUGUUGGGUUAAGUCCCAUAACGAGCGCAACCCUUACCCUUAUUUGCCAGCGAUUCGGUCGGGAACUAUAAGGGGACUGCCGGUGAUAAACCGGAGGAAGGUGAGGACGACGUCAAGUCAUCAUGGCCCUUACGUGUAGGGCUACACACGUGCUACAAUGGGGAGUACAGAUGGACGCUAAAGCGCAAGCUGGUGCUAAUCCCAAAAACUCUCGUAGUCCGGAUUGCAGUCUGCAACUCGACUGCAUGAAGUCGGAAUCGCUAGUAA
RNAcentral lists this ribosomal RNA (421 nucleotides) under uncultured bacterium. Its description in RNAcentral is "bacterial SSU rRNA". It matches the Rfam family "Bacterial small subunit ribosomal RNA", at positions 917 to 1341 of the family's 1533-position model. The record is from RNAcentral.